RNAcentral lists this non-coding RNA (41 nucleotides) under Trypanosoma brucei brucei. Lineage: Eukaryota; Euglenozoa; Kinetoplastea; Trypanosomatida; Trypanosomatidae. The record is from RNAcentral.
GGAGACAAAUGAUCUAGAUUCGAGACUGUAUAUGAUAUAUU